Apis dorsata (giant honeybee) is the source of this 490-nucleotide long non-coding RNA. RefSeq lists it as uncharacterized. Lineage: Eukaryota; Metazoa; Arthropoda; Insecta; Hymenoptera; Apidae. The record is from RefSeq and is a predicted model, not a curated record. The transcript is spliced from 2 exons.
GUUCAAACGAAUAGUUCUCCUAUCCGAUGCAAUUGUCAUAUUACGUAUCUAUUCCAAAAUGUCGCGAUAAAUACCCGCUACAUUCUAAAAAAACGUUAACAAAGAUAUCACUGAUCACCGUACACCGAUAAUGGCUACGAUAGAUCCUUGACCAGACGAAGAAAACAUGAACACAUAAGCACUAUGAAAGGAACAAUGGCGAUAGCCAAUAUAAAGCAACGAAUGAAGAGGGCUCUGAUGAUGCAAUGAAGAAAAUACUUGAUUUGCUGAACAUGAAAGGAAAAACAGAAAGCAAUCUAUAAUCGACCUAAAAUUGUCUCAAAGAUGUCGACAUCGUUGCAUACUUCUCAGCUACUUUAGCAAUCUCUUGAGCUUGAAUGCCAACAAUAUUGCCUACUGCCGUUACGCUUAAACGAGUCUAAAUGAAUAAAAUAUUAUAUAAAGAAAUAAUUAAUAUUAUUUAAUUAAUAUCGAUUAUAAUAAUAUAAUU